This 253-nucleotide ribosomal RNA is filed under the name uncultured bacterium. RNAcentral describes it as "partial 16S ribosomal RNA". It matches the Rfam family "Bacterial small subunit ribosomal RNA", at positions 524 to 776 of the family's 1533-position model. The record is from RNAcentral.
UACGAAGGGAGCUAGCGUUGUUCGGAAUUACUGGGCGUAAAGCGCACGUAGGCGGGCUGAUCAGUCAGGGGUGAAAUCCCGAGGCUCAACCUCGGAACUGCCUUUGAUACUGUUAGUCUUGAGAUCGUGAGAGGUGAGUGGAAUUCCUAGUGUAGAGGUGAAAUUCGUAGAUAUUAGGAAGAACACCAGUGGCGAAGGCGUCUCACUGGCCCGAUACUGACGCUGAGGUGCGAAAGCGUGGGGAGCAAACAGG